RNAcentral lists this long non-coding RNA (317 nucleotides) under Mytilus galloprovincialis (Mediterranean mussel). The record is from RNAcentral. Lineage: Eukaryota; Metazoa; Mollusca; Bivalvia; Mytilida; Mytilidae.
GCUGUUUAUCACAAUACACAACAGAUCCUAAAUUUUUACAUUUGUAUUUUUGUAAAACUACUUUAUUAUCAUUAUUAGUAAUAUUGAAAAUGUUUGUUUAUUGUCACUAUAAAAGGUAUCAUGCUUAAUGCCUGAAUAUCUGCGAUUAAGAUCAGUCAGUUUAAGGUCAAGUUACAGUAAAUGGGCAAUGUCACAAAUAUUUCUAGAUGAAAAAUACCACAAAAUGUUCAGAUAAGCGUAACGACAUUGUGUUGUAAGUCAUAAAAGAGUAUUUUGAUGUUUUUUCACAACCAACUAGCUAUAAACAUAUUACACCA